RNAcentral lists this long non-coding RNA (537 nucleotides) under Taeniopygia guttata (zebra finch). Its description in RNAcentral is "lncRNA (ENSTGUG00000026749.1)". The record is from RNAcentral. Lineage: Eukaryota; Metazoa; Chordata; Aves; Passeriformes; Estrildidae.
AGGGGCGUGGCCUCACGCCAUCAUGGCGGCGCCCAUGGCGGACGGUGCGCGUGGGGGGCGCGGGAGGAUUUGGGGUUUUUUUGGGGGCAUUUUGGGGUUUUUUUGGGUGUUUUUUGGGCUGUGGCCGUGGCUCUGACCUCUCCCCUCCCCCCGCAGCCCCUCAGGGGGGCCCCACCCCCCCCGGGACCCCUCCGGACGCGGCCCCGGCGGAGCCCGAGGCGCUCGAUUUCCCCCAGUACGAACUGGGCCGCCCCCCCCGCCAGAUUUGGGGGGCGCGGGAGGAAUUCGCGCGGCGCCCCGAAAAUUUCCUGCGAGGCUGCAAAUGGGCCCCCGACGGCUCCUGCGUCCUCACCUGCAGCAACGACAACGCCCUGAGGAUCUUCGACCUCCCCCUCCCCCCGCGGCCCCCCCCGGGGGCGCCCCUCCCCCAGCUGGUGGGGGAGGGGUCCUGGGGGGGGCUGGGGGGGUCAUUUUGGGGGGUUUGGGGUCACUGAGGGGGGUCCUGGGGGGGAUUUGAGGUCACUUUGGGGGGUUUGG